AUACGGAGGGUGCAAGCGUUAUCCGGAUUUAUUGGGUUUAAAGGGUGCGUAGGCGGCUUGGUAUGUCAGAGGUGAAAUCCUGCGGCUCAACCGUAGAAUUGCCUUUGAAACUGCCAGGCUUGAGUCCGUGAGAGGUUGGUGGAAUUCCUGGUGUAACGGUGAAAUGUGCAGAUAUCAGGAAGAACACCCGUGGCGAAGGCGGCCAACUGGCACGGUACUGACGCUGAGGCACGAAAGCUAGGGUAUCGAACGGGAUUAGAAACCCCAGUAGUCC
This 274-nucleotide ribosomal RNA is filed under the name uncultured bacterium. RNAcentral's name for it is "partial 16S ribosomal RNA". It matches the Rfam family "Bacterial small subunit ribosomal RNA", at positions 523 to 796 of the family's 1533-position model. The record is from RNAcentral.